CCUAAGGUAGCGAAAUUCCUUGUCGGGUAAGUUCCGACCCGCACGAAAGGCGUAACGAUUUGGGCACUGUCUCAACGAGAGACUCGGUGAAAUCAUAGUACCUGUGAAGAUGCAGGUUACCCGCGACAGGACGGAAAGACCCCGUGGAGCUUUACUGUAGCCUGAUAUUGAAAUUCGGCACAGCUUGUACAGGAUAGGUAGGAGCCUUUGAAACGUGAGCGCUAGCUUACGUGGAGGCGUUGGUGGGAUACUACCCUAGCUGUGUUGGCUUUCUAACCCGCACCACUUAUCGUGGUGGGAGACAGUGUCAGGCGGGCAGUUUGACUGGGGCGGUCGCCUCCUAAAAGGUAACGGAGGCGCUCAAAGGUUCCCUCAGAAUGGUUGGAAAUCAUUCAUAGAGUGUAAAGGCAUAAGGGAGCUUGACUGCGAGACCUACAAGUCGAGCAGGGUCGAAAGACGGACUUAGUGAUCCGGUGGUUCCGCAUGGAAGGGCCAUCGCUCAACGGAUAAAAGCUACCCCGGGGAUAACAGGCUUAUCUCCCCCAAGAGUUCACAUCGACGGGGAGGUUUGGCACCUCGAUGUCGGCUCAUCGCAUCCUGGGGCUGUAGUCGGUCCCAAGGGUUGGGCUGUUCGCCCAUUAAAGCGGUACGCGAGCUGGGUUCAGAACGUCGUGAGACAGUUCGGUCCCUAUCCGUCGUGGGCGUAGGAAAUUUGAGAGGAGCUGUCCUUAGUACGAGAGGACCGGGAUGGACAUACCUCUGGUGUACCAGUUGUCGUGCCAACGGCAUAGCUGGGUAGCUAUGUAUGGACGGGAUAAGUGCUGAAAGCAUCUAAGCAUGAAGCCCCCCUCAAGAUGAGAUUUCCCAACUUCGGUUAUAAGAUCCCUCGAAGAUGACGAGGUUAAUAGGUUCGAGGUGGAAGCGUGGUGACACGUGGAGCUGACGAAUACUAAUCGAUCGAAGACUUAAUCAA
This 973-nucleotide ribosomal RNA is filed under the name metagenome. RNAcentral's name for it is "bacterial LSU rRNA". It matches the Rfam family "Bacterial large subunit ribosomal RNA", at positions 1950 to 2925 of the family's 2925-position model. RNAcentral also lists the same sequence under 1 other name. The record is from RNAcentral.